GUCGAGAAUAAUUCACAAUGGGGGCAACCCUGAUGGUGCAACGCCGCGUGGAGGAUGAAGGUCUUCGGAUUGUAAACUCCUGUCAUCCGGGAGCAAGACCUGGCCGUGAAUAGCGGACAGGGUUGAUAGUACCGGAAGAGGAAGGGACGGCUAACUUCGUGCCAGCAGCCGCGGUAAUACGAAGGUCCCGAGCGUUGUUCGGAAUCACUGGGCGUAAAGGGAGCGUAGGCGGCGCGGUAAGUCAGAUGUGAAAUCCUAGGGCUCAGACCUGGAACUGCAUCCGUUACUGCUGUGCUUGAGCAAUAGAGAGGUAGCCGGAAUUCUCGGUGUAGCAGUGAAAUGCGUAGAUAUCGAGAGGAACACUCGUGGCGAAAGCGGGCUACUGGACAUUUGCUGACGCUGAGGCUCGAAGGCCGGGGGAGCGAAAGGGAUUAGAAACCCCAGUAGUCC
This 450-nucleotide ribosomal RNA is filed under the name uncultured bacterium. RNAcentral describes it as "partial 16S ribosomal RNA". It matches the Rfam family "Bacterial small subunit ribosomal RNA", at positions 354 to 796 of the family's 1533-position model. The record is from RNAcentral.